Molecule: transfer RNA, 76 nt
Filed under: miscellaneous Crenarchaeota group-15 archaeon DG-45
Lineage: Archaea; Thermoproteati; Candidatus Bathyarchaeota
Description: tRNA-Tyr
Rfam family: tRNA
About the family: Transfer RNA (tRNA) molecules are approximately 80 nucleotides in length. Their secondary structure includes four short double-helical elements and three loops (D, anti-codon, and T loops).
Source: RNAcentral
CCCGCCCUAGCUCAAUGGUCAGAGCAUCCGGCUGUAGACCGGAGGGUUCCCGGUUCAACUCCGGGGGGCGGGACCA